This 260-nucleotide long non-coding RNA is filed under the name Setaria viridis. Its description in RNAcentral is "long non-coding RNA (SVIR_LNC000481)". Lineage: Eukaryota; Viridiplantae; Streptophyta; Magnoliopsida; Poales; Poaceae. The record is from RNAcentral.
UCACAUCUCCAUGUCCAUGACUUGUGAAACAUAGUCAUCAACUAAUACAUGUGCUAGUCUAAUAUUCAUGUGUGUCCUCACAUGAACUCCGACUAGGGACAAUUUUAGAAUAACCAUACAAGUAUAGAGUUUCACAUACAAUUCACAUAAUUGCAAAUCAAUUAAGGUAGCCUUUAAUGGAUAUUCAAGGAACACAAUAUAAAUCAUGGAUACAAACGGAAUGUCAUCAUCUCUAUGAUUGCCUCUAGGGCAUACCUCCA